UUAGAGUUUGAUCCUGGCUCAGAACGAACGCUGGCGGCAGGCCUAAUACAUGCAAGUCGAACGCCCCGAAUGGGGAGUGGCGGACGGGUGAGUAACGCGUGGGAACCUACCCAGGAGUCCGGAAUAACGUCGAGAAAUCGUCGCUAAUACCGGAUACGUCCCGAGGGAGAAAGUUUUUCGCUCUUGGAUGGGCCCGCAUCGGAUUAGCUAGUUGGUGAGGUAAAAGCUCACCAAGGCGACGAUCCGUAGCUGGUCUGAGAGGAUGAUCAGCCACACUGGGACUGAGACACGGCCCAGACUCCUACGGGAGGCAGCAGUGGGGAAUAUUGGACAAUGGGCGAAAGCCUGAUCCAGCCAUGCCGCGUGAGUGAAGAAGGCCCUAGGGUUGUAAAACUCUUUCAACGGUGAAGAUAAUGACGGUAACCGUAGAAGAAGCCCCGGCUAAUUUCGUGCCAGCAGCCGCGGUAAUACGAAAGGGGCUAGCGUUGUUCGGAAUUACUGGGCGUAAAGCGCGCGUAGGCGGCCUAGCAAGUUGGGGGUGAAAUCCCGGAGCUCAACUCCGGAACUGCCUUCAAAACUGCUAAGCUUGAGGAUGUGAGAGGUGAAUGGAAUUCCGAGUGUAGAGGUGAAAUUCGUAGAUAUUCGGAAGAACACCAGUGGCGAAGGCGAUUCACUGGCGCAUUUCUGACGCUGAGGCGCGAAAGCGUGGGGAGCGAACAGGAUUAGAUACCCUGGUAGUCCACGCCG
Molecule: ribosomal RNA, 747 nt
Filed under: uncultured Pseudomonadota bacterium
Lineage: Bacteria; Pseudomonadati; Pseudomonadota
Description: bacterial SSU rRNA
Rfam family: Bacterial small subunit ribosomal RNA
Source: RNAcentral